UACGAAGGGGGCUAGCGUUUCUCGGAAUUACUGGGCGUAAAGCGCACGUAGGCGGCUUCUUAAGUCGGUGGUGAAAUCCUGGAGCUCAACUCCAGAACUGCCUUCGAUACUGGGAAGCUCGAGUCCGGGAGAGGUGAGUGGAACUGCGAGUGUAGAGGUGAAAUUCGUAGAUAUUCGCAAGAACACCAGUGGCGAAGGCGGCUCACUGGCCCGGUACUGACGCUGAGGUGCGAAAGCGUGGGGAGCAAACAGG
Molecule: ribosomal RNA, 253 nt
Filed under: uncultured bacterium
Lineage: Bacteria
Description: partial 16S ribosomal RNA
Rfam family: Bacterial small subunit ribosomal RNA
Source: RNAcentral